Molecule: ribosomal RNA, 368 nt
Filed under: uncultured bacterium
Lineage: Bacteria
Description: bacterial SSU rRNA
Rfam family: Bacterial small subunit ribosomal RNA
Source: RNAcentral
GAAGGGUGCUAGCGUUGUUCGGAAUUACUGGGCGUAAAGCGCGCGUAGGCGGCUAUUCAAGUCAGAGGUGAAAUCCCUGGGCUCAACCCAGGAAUUGCCUUUGAAACUGUAUAGCUAGAGUGUCGGAGGGGAUAGCGGAAUUCCUAAUGUAGAGGUGAAAUUCGUAGAUAUUAGGAGGAACACCGGUGGCGAAGGCGGCUAUCUGGACGACAACUGACGCUGAGGCGCGAAAGCGUGGGGAUCAAACAGGAUUAGAUACCCUGGUAGUCCACGCUGUAAACGAUGGAUGCUAGCCGUUGGGAGGUUACCUCUCAGUGGCGUAGCUAACGCGUUAAGCAUCCCGCCUGGGGAGUACGGUCGCAAGAUUA